RNAcentral lists this ribosomal RNA (435 nucleotides) under uncultured bacterium. RNAcentral's name for it is "bacterial SSU rRNA". It matches the Rfam family "Bacterial small subunit ribosomal RNA", at positions 340 to 786 of the family's 1533-position model. The record is from RNAcentral.
UACGGGAGGCAGCAGUGGGGAAUAUUGCACAAUGGGCGGAAGCCUGAUGCAGCGACGCCGCGUGGGGGAUGACGGCCUUCGGGUUGUAAACUCCUUUCGACAGGGACGAAGCUUUUUGUGACGGUACCUGUAUAAGAAGCACCGGCUAACUACGUGCCAGCAGCCGCGGUAAUACGUAGGGUGCGAGCGUUAAUCGGAAUUACUGGGCGUAAAGGGCACGCAGGCGGUUAAUUAAGUUGGAUGUGAAAUCCCCGGGCUUAACCUGGGAAUGGCAUUCAAGACUGGUUAGCUAGAGUCUUGUAGAGGGGGUAGAAUUCCAUGUGUAGCGGUGAAAUGCGUAGAGAUGUGGAGGAAUACCGGUGGCGAAGGCGGCCCCUGGACAAAGACUGACGCUCAUGUGCGAAAGCGUGGGGAGCAAACAGGGAUUUAGAUACC